RNAcentral lists this long non-coding RNA (293 nucleotides) under Selaginella moellendorffii. Its description in RNAcentral is "long non-coding RNA (SMOE_LNC000600)". Lineage: Eukaryota; Viridiplantae; Streptophyta; Lycopodiopsida; Selaginellales; Selaginellaceae. The record is from RNAcentral.
GGAGCUCUGCUCUACAGCAAACAGAACCCGUCCGCUCCGGUACAAAUCACUGCGAACGGUGCGAAUCUGCCGGGUGGCGAGACCAACGACGGGAGCUACUGGCUCGACUUGCCACGCGAUGCUGCAGCUGCCGAAAAAGUGAGAAGAGGAAAUCUAGAGAGCGCAAUCACGUACCUGCACGUCAAGCCGGUAUUUGGCGGAACGUUCACCGACAUGCAGUUCUGGUUCUACUAUCCUUUCAACGGCCCGGCAACUCUCAAAGUCGGGCUCAUCAACGUCAAGCUCGGGAAAAU